AAUAGAUACCCGGGUAGUCCACGCCGUAAACCGAUGAGUGCUAAGUGUUAGAGAGUUUCCGCCCUUUAGUGCUGCAGCUAACGCAUUAAGCACUCCGCCUGGGGAGUACGGCCGCAAGGCUGAAACUCAAAGGAAGUUGACGGGGGCCCGCACAAGCGGUGGAGCAUGUGGUUUAAUUCGAAGCAACGCGAAGAACCUUACCAGGUCUUGACAUCCUCUGACAACCCUAGAGAUAGGGCUUUCCCCGUUCGGGGGACAGAGUGACAGGUGGUGCAUGGUUGUCGUCAGCUCGUGUCGUGAGAUGUUGGGUUAAGUCCCGCAACGAGCGCAACCCUUGAUCUUAGUUGCCAGCAUUCAGUUGGGCACUCUAAGGUGACUGCCGGUGACAAACCGGAGGAAGGUGGGGAUGACGUCAAAUCAUCAUGCCCCUUAUGACCUGGGCUACACACGUGCUACAAUGGAUGGUACAAAGGGCUGCAAACCUGCGAAGGUAAGCGAAUCCCAUAAAGCCAUUCUCAGUUCGGAUUGCAGG
This 532-nucleotide ribosomal RNA is filed under the name uncultured bacterium. RNAcentral's name for it is "bacterial SSU rRNA". It matches the Rfam family "Bacterial small subunit ribosomal RNA", at positions 777 to 1304 of the family's 1533-position model. The record is from RNAcentral.